CAAAAAAAAAAAAAAAGACCUUUUUUUUUUUUUUUUUUUCACUAAAACGCUUCCUAUAACUUGGAUUAAAAUUCAAAAAUGGGAUUGCAGUCAUUGUUAAUUGCUCAACUAGUGGCAGUUUUUCCUUGCUGAGGGAACACUGAUGUUGUUUAAGACAGUUACAUGCCUAGCCCCAGGGAUGAAUCAUAAUUGUUCUAGGCCUUUCAUGUCUUUCCUUUCUUCUUGUCCAGAUACUUUUCCAACCAGCCUUUACUCGGAGGUGUUCAUGUGACCCUGUUUUGGCCAAUAAAAUGUAAUGGAAAAUCUGGGAAACACUUGGGAAAAAUCUUCCCUCUCUGCUUAAAGGAAAGUUCUUUUUACCUCUUUUUCUCUUGUUCAAGGUAUUAGUAUUAGUCAGUAGGGUCUGAAUCUGUGGCAGCAAUCUUGCAGACAUGAAAUGAAAAGUACAAACAUGAAAAACCAGCAUAUUAAAGAUGCCAGGUCAGAAAAAUAGAAAGAACCUGCUUCUGUGAGCCACUGAAUGGUGCCAUUAACCAUCUGCAUUUGAGCAUUUUGAGAAAAUAAACCUCUAUUUCUUAAAGUUCUGUAUCAGUCAGGGUUUCCCAGAGAGGCAGAACAAUAGGGAUAGAGAGAUACAUAGAGAGAGAUAUGAGAGGGAUAGAGAGAGACACAGAGAGAGAUAUGAGAGGGGAUUAAGGGAGUUGGCUCAUGUGAUUGUGGAGGCUGAGAAACCCCACCACAGGCCAUUCAUAACCUGGAGACCUUGGGAUGCUGGUGGUCUGGCUCAGUACAAGUCCAAAAGCCUUGGAACCAGGGAAACUGAUGGUGUAAUUCUCAGUCCAAGGCUGAAUUUUCAAGUCUGAGAACCUGGGGGUGGGAUGGGGGAGUGAUAGUUUUAAGUCCUGGAGUCCCAAGGUUAGAGGAUCUGGGGUCCUAAUGUCCAUGGGCAGUUGGAGAAGAGUGUAUCCCUGCUGCAGGGGAGAGAGAGAAGCCAAUUCUCCUUUCUUCUGUUUUUAUUCUACCCAGGCCUCCAGUGGAUUGGAGGUGCCUGCCCAUAUUGAGGGCAGAUCUUCUCUGCCUAGUCCACGCUAACUCACAUGCCAAUCUCCUCUGGAAACACCCUCACAGACACACCCCAAAAUAAUGCCUUACCAGUUCUCUAGAUAUUCCUUAAUCCAGUCAAGUUGAUGCCUAAAAUUAACCAUCACAGGCUUUAUGGCUCUAUUACCCAAGAAUUCUGUUACUUUCAGCUGAAAACAUUUCUAAUGGACAUAUUCCAAUUCUGUAUAGAUCAGAUCUCAGUUUCAUUUCCCAUUAUAUCCUUCUCUCUCUUGAUUUAGAAUUCUCUUUUUCUCCACUCUUCUGUGUAUGCUAAAAUACUGUCAAUCUCGUCUUUGAAGGUUUUGCUCAUCUUUAAAAAAUCUUAGUUGAUUAUGUUUUAUGUGUCAUUUAAUUAAGGAAUGAAUUUGCUUAUUUUUAUUUCAGUAGCUUUUGGGGUACAAGUGGUUUUUGGUUGCAUGGAUGAAUUGUAUAUUGGUGAAGUCUGAAAUUUUAGUGCACCUGUCACCAGAAUAGUGUGCAUUGUACCCAAUAUAUAGCUUUUUAUUCCUUCCCCUUCUGAGUCUCCAUAGUCCAUUAUAUCACUCUGUAUACCCUUGUGUAUCCAUAGCUUAGCUCCCACUUACAGUUGAGAACAUACAGAAUUUGAUUUUCUAUUCCGGAGUUACUUUACUUAGAAUAAUGGCCUCCAGCUCCAUCCAAGAUGCUGCAAAAGACAUUAUUUCAUCUUUUAUUUUUUAUGGCUGAGUAGUAUUCCAUGGUGCAUAUAUACCACAUUUUCUUUAUCCACUCAUUGGUCUAUGGGCACUUUGGUUGAUUCUGUAUCUUUGCAAUUGUGAACUGUGUUAACAAUAAAAAUAUAUAUACGAGUGUCUUUUAUGGUAGAUCUCCUUUUAGUUCUUUAAGACACCUCCAUACUGUUGUCUGUAGAGGUUGUACUAAUUUACAUUCUCACCAGCAGUGUAUAAAUGAGACAGGGUCUCACUCUGUCACCCAGGUUGGAGUGCAAUGGCAUGAUCAUGGCUCACUGUGGCCUUGACGUCCCAGGCUUAAGUAAUCCUUCCACCUCAGCUUCCCUGGUAGCUGGGACUACAGGCACAUGCCACCAUGCCUGAUUAAUUUUGUUUUCGUUUUUGUUUUUUUGUAGAGACAGGGGUCUCACUGUGUUGCCUAGGCUGGUCUUGAACUCUUACACUCAAGCAAUCCUCCCUCCUAAGCCUCCCAAAGUUCUCCAGUUAUAGGCGUGGGCCACUGUGCCUGGCCUUAU
This 2326-nucleotide long non-coding RNA is filed under the name Homo sapiens (human). RNAcentral describes it as "HSALNT0364269". Lineage: Eukaryota; Metazoa; Chordata; Mammalia; Primates; Hominidae. The record is from RNAcentral.